UUGGUUAAGUUAGAAAGGGCGCACGGUGGAUGCCUUGGCACUAGGAGUCGAUGAAGGACGGCACUAACACCGAUAUGCCUCGGGGAGCUGUAAGUGAGCUUUGAUCCGGGGAUUUCCGAAUGGGGAAACCCACUAUCUUUAAUCGGAUAGUACAGCCGCGUGAAUUCAUAGCGCGGUUGAGACAUACCCAGGGAACUGAAACAUCUAAGUACCUGGAGGAAGAGAAAGCAAAUGCGAUUCCCUGAGUAGCGGCGAGCGAAACGGGAUCAGCCCAAACCAAGAGGCUUGCCUCUUGGGGUUGUAGGACACUCUAUACGGAGUUACAAAAGGAAGGAUUAGGCGAAGCGACCUGGAACGGUCCGCCAGAGCGGGUAACAGCCCCGUAGCCGAAAACCCUUCCCCUCCAGAGUGGAUCCUGAGUACGGCGGAACACGUGAAAUUCCGUCGGAAUCCGGGAGGACCAUCUCCCAAGGCUAAAUACUUCCUAGUGACCGAUAGUGAACCAGUACCGUGAGGGAAAGGUGAAAAGCACCCCGGAAGGGGAGUGAAACAGAUCCUGAAACCGUGUGCCUACAAGUAGUCAGAGCCCGUUAAUGGGUGAUGGCGUGCCUUUUGUAGAAUGAACCGGCGAGUUACGAUUGCAUGCAAGGUUAAGGUGAGAAGCCGGAGCCGCAGCGAAAGCGAGUCUGAACAGGGCGCCAGAGUAUGCAGUUGUAGACCCGAAACCAGGUGAUCUACCCAUGUCCAGGGUGAAGGCAAGGUAACACUUGCUGGAGGCCCGAACCCACGCACGUUGAAAAGUGCGGGGAUGAGGUGUGGGUAGCGGAGAAAUUCCAAUCGAACCUGGAGAUAGCUGGUUCUCUCCGAAAUAGCUUUAGGGCUAGCCUCAAGAUAAGAAUCCUGGAGGUAGAGCACUGUUUGGACUAGGGGCCCAUCCCGGGUUACCGAAUUCAGACAAACUCCGAAUGCCAGUGAUUUAUGCUUGGGAGUCAGACUGCGAGUGAUAAGAUCCGUAGUCAAGAGGGAAACAGCCCAGACCACCAGCUAAGGUCCCCAAAUAUCCGUUAAGUGGAAAAGGAUGUGGCGUUGCUUAGACAACCAGGAUGUUGGCUUAGAAGCAGCCAUCAUUUAAAGAGUGCGUAAUAGCUCACUGGUCGAGUGACACUGCGCCGAAAAUGUACCGGGGCUAAACGGAUUACCGAAGCUGUGGAUGGACCGCNNNNUNNNNNNNNNNNNNNNNNNNNNNNNNNNNNNNNNNNNNNNNNNNNNNNNNNNNNNNNNNNNNNNNNNNNNNNNNNNNNNNUGGACNNCNAGGUCCGUGGUAGGAGAGCGUUCUAAGGGCGUUGAAGCCAGACCGGAAGGACUGGUGGAGCGCUUAGAAGUGAGAAUGCCGGUAUGAGUAACGAAAGACGGGUGAGAAUCCCGUCCACCGAAUGCCUAAGGUUUCCUGAGGAAGGCUCGUCCGCUCAGGGUUAGUCGGGACCUAAGUCGAGGCCGAUAGGCGUAGACGAUGGACAACAGGUUGAUAUUCCUGUACCACCUCCCCGCCGUUUGAGCAAUGGGGGGACGCAGAAGGAUAAGGCGAGCGCGCCGUUGGUUGUGCGCGUCCAAGCAGUGAGAUGUGGAACGAGGCAAAUCCCGUUCCGGAUGCAUCAAGCUGUGAUGGCGAGGGGAAUUUUCCCCGGAGUCCCUGAUUUCACACUGCCAAGAAAAGCCUCUAGCGAGGCGGGAGGUGCCCGUACCGCAAACCGACACAGGUAGGCGAGAAGAGAAUUCUAAGGUGAGCGAGUGAACUCUCGUUAAGGAACUCGGCAAAAUGACCCCGUAACUUCGGGAGAAGGGGUGCUCUGGUAGGGUGUUACAGCCCGAGAGAGCCGCAGUGAAUAGGCCCAGGCGACUGUUUAGCAAAAACACAGGUCUCUGCAAAACCGUAAGGUGACGUAUAGGGGCUGACGCCUGCCCGGUGCUGGAAGGUUAAGGGGAGUGCUUAGCGCAAGCGAAGGUGCGAACUGAAGCCCCAGUAAACGGCGGCCGUAACUAUAACGGUCCUAAGGUAGCGAAAUUCCUUGUCGGGUAAGUUCCGACCCGCACGAAAGGCGUAACGAUCUGGGCACUGUCUCAACGAGAGACUCGGUGAAAUUAUAGUACCUGUGAAGAUGCAGGUUACCCGCGACAGGACGGAAAGACCCCGUGGAGCUUUACUGUAGCCUGAUAUUGACUUUUGGUGCAACUUGUACAGGAUAGGUAGGAGCCAGAGAAACCGGAGCGCCAGCUUCGGUGGAGGCGUCGGUGGGAUACUACCCUGGUUGUAUUGAAAGUCUAACCCACAUCCCUGAUCGGGGUGGGAGACAGUGUCAGGCGGGCAGUUUGACUGGGGCGGUCGCCUCCUAAAGAGUAACGGAGGCGCCCAAAGGUUCCCUCAGAAUGGUUGGAAAUCAUUCGCAGAGUGUAAAGGCACAAGGGAGCUUGACUGCGAGACGUACAGGUCGAGCAGGGUCGAAAGACGGGCUUAGUGAUCCGGUGGUUCCGCAUGGAAGGGCCAUCGCUCAACGGAUAAAAGCUACCCCGGGGAUAACAGGCUUAUCUCCCCCAAGAGUCCACAUCGACGGGGAGGUUUGGCACCUCGAUGUC
Molecule: ribosomal RNA, 2631 nt
Filed under: Planomicrobium sp. CPCC 101110
Lineage: Bacteria; Bacillati; Bacillota; Bacilli; Caryophanales; Caryophanaceae
Description: partial 23S ribosomal RNA
Rfam family: Bacterial large subunit ribosomal RNA
Source: RNAcentral